Molecule: ribosomal RNA, 387 nt
Filed under: Planiliza subviridis (greenback mullet)
Lineage: Eukaryota; Metazoa; Chordata; Actinopteri; Mugiliformes; Mugilidae
Description: partial 12S ribosomal RNA
Rfam family: Bacterial small subunit ribosomal RNA
Source: RNAcentral
GCCCAGCCCUAAACUCUGAUAGUCUAACUACACUCACUAUCCGCCCGGGUACUACGAGCUUUAGCUUAAAACCCAAAGGACUUGGCGGUGCUUAAGAUCCACCUAGAGGAGCCUGUUCUAUAACCGAUAACCCCCGUUUAACCUCACCCUUUCUUGUUUAACCCGCCUAUAUACCGCCGUCGUCAGCCCACCCUGUGAAGGUCCCGUAGUAAGCUUAGUUGGUAUGCCCCAAAACGCCAGGUCGAGGUGUAGCGUAUGAAAGAGGAAGAAAUGGGCUACAUUUCCUAAACAGGAAACACGGACAAUAAACUUAAAUGCCUAUUAGAAGGAGGAUUUAGCAGUAAAUGAGGAACAGAGCGUCUCACUGAAAUCGGCCCUAAAGCGCGC